Molecule: unclassified non-coding RNA, 203 nt
Filed under: uncultured fungus
Lineage: Eukaryota; Fungi
Description: sequence contains ITS1
Source: RNAcentral
CAGAGUUAGGGUUGCCCUCGCGGCGCCCGACCUCCCAACCCUUUGCCUUGAAAAAAUGGUCAGCGGGCGCGCCUCUCUGAUGGAGCGCCCGCCGAGCAGAACCACGUAUACGUUGCUUCGGCGGCUCACACCGCCGGAGGGACCGUACACCAAAACUCUUGUUAAACCGUGUAAACGUCUGAGAAUAAAACUUCAAUAAGUUA